Molecule: ribosomal RNA, 292 nt
Filed under: uncultured Verrucomicrobiota bacterium
Lineage: Bacteria; Pseudomonadati; Verrucomicrobiota
Description: uncultured Verrucomicrobia bacterium partial 16S ribosomal RNA
Source: RNAcentral
GGACUACAGGGGUAUCUAAUCCCUUUUGCUCCCCACGCUUUCGUGCCUGAGCGUCAGUAAUUGUCCAGGAAGCUGCCUUCGCCAUUGGUGUUCCUCACGAUAUCUACGCAUUUCACUGCUACACCGUGAAUUCCGCUUCCCUCUCCAAUACUCUAGCCAUGUAGUUUCCGGCGCAAUUCCGGGGUUAAGCCCCGGGAUUUCACACCAGACACACAUGGCCGCCUGCGCACCCUUUACGCCCAGUGAAUCCGAAUAACGCUUGCAGUCUCUGUAUUACCGCGGCUGCUGGCAC